GAACGCUGNCGGCGUGCCUAAUACAUGCAAGUCGAACGAGUUCUCGUUGAUGAUCGGUGCUUGCACCGAGAUUCAACAUGGAACGAGUGGCGGACGGGUGAGUAACACGUGGGUAACCUGCCCUUAAGUGGGGGAUAACAUUUGGAAACAGAUGCUAAUACCGCAUAGAUCCAAGAACCGCAUGGUUCUUGGCUGAAAGAUGGCGUAAGCUAUCGCUUUUGGAUGGACCCGCGGCGUAUUAGCUAGUUGGUGAGGUAAUGGCUCACCAAGGCGAUGAUACGUAGCCGAACUGAGAGGUUGAUCGGCCACAUUGGGACUGAGACACGGCCCAAACUCCUACGGGAGGCAGCAGUAGGGAAUCUUCCACAAUGGACGCAAGUCUGAUGGAGCAACGCCGGCGUGAGUGAAGAAGGCUUUCGGGUCGUAAACUCUGUUGUUGGAGAAGAAUGGUCGGCAGAGUAACUGUUGUCGGCGUGACGGUAUCCAACCAGAAAGCCACGGCUAACUACGUGCCAGCAGCCGCGGUAAUACGUAGGUGGCAAGCGUUAUCCGGAUUUAUUGGGCGUAAAGCGAGCGCAGGCGGUUUUUUAAGUCUGAUGUGAAAGCCCUCGGCUUAACCGAGGAAGCGCAUCGGAAACUGGGAAACUUGAGUGCAGAAGAGGACAGUGGAACUCCAUGUGUAGCGGUGAAAUGCGUAGAUAUAUGGAAGAACACCAGUGGCGAAGGCGGCUGUCUGGUCUGUAACUGACGCUGAGGCUCGAAAGCAUGGGUAGCGAACAGGAUUAGAUACCCUGGUAGUCCAUGCCGUAAACGAUGAAUGCUAGGUGUUGGAGGGUUUCCGCCCUUCAGUGCCGCAGCUAACGCGAUUAAGCAUUCCGCCUGGGGAGUACGACCGCAAGGUUGAAACUCAAAGGAAUUGACGGGGGCCCGCACAAGCGGUGGAGCAUGUGGUUUAAUUCGAAGCAACGCGAAGAACCUUACCAGGUCUUGACAUCUUUUGAUCACCUGAGAGAUCAGGUUUCCCCUUCGGGGGCAAAAUGACAGGUGGUGCAUGGUUGUCGUCAGCUCGUGUCGUGAGAUGUUGGGUUAAGUCCCGCAACGAGCGCAACCCUUAUGACUAGUUGCCAGCAUUUAGUUGGGCACUCUAGUAAGACUGCCGGUGACAAACCGGAGGAAGGUGGGGAUGACGUCAAAUCAUCAUGCCCCUUAUGACCUGGGCUACACACGUGCUACAAUGGAUGGUACAACGAGUUGCGAGACCGCGAGGUCAAGCUAAUCUCUUAAAGCCAUUCUCAGUUCGGACUGUAGGCUGCAACUCGCCUACACGAAGUCGGAAUCGCUAGUAAUCGCGGAUCAGCACGCCGCGGUGAAUACGUUCCCGGGCCUUGUACACACCGCCCGUCACACCAUGAGAGUUUGUAACACCCGAAGCCGGUGGCGGUAACCCUUUUAGGGAGCGAGCCGUCUAAGGUGGGACAAAUGAUUAGGGUAAGUCGAACAAGGUAGCCGUAGGAGAA
This 1517-nucleotide ribosomal RNA is filed under the name Lacticaseibacillus paracasei. RNAcentral describes it as "Lactobacillus paracasei 16S ribosomal RNA". It matches the Rfam family "Bacterial small subunit ribosomal RNA". Lineage: Bacteria; Bacillati; Bacillota; Bacilli; Lactobacillales; Lactobacillaceae. The record is from RNAcentral.